AAGAGGUUUUUCAACUCCCCAGGGCUUGCCGGAAUCGGUCCCUCCAAUUUGCCAUAGUAUGCAUCAAGCCUAUUUAACUGUGAAAGGUUCCCUAGUGAUGGAGGUAUGAGACCAGACAAGCUAUUAUUAUACAAUGAUAGCUCUAUCAUGUUUUCCAGCUUGCCAAUGCUCUCUAUAAUCACUCCGUAUAUGGAAGUAUUUACUAUUGCGAGAAUACUCCCGGGGACCCUAUUGUCCACUAAGUAUAACUGCUGGAGAGUCGUUGAGAGGUUCACAAUUGAACCCGGUAGUUGACCCCCAAAAGAAUUUUUGCCUAGUACCAAUCGCCUUAGUUGGCUGCAGUUUGCCAAAGAAGUAAUGAAUUCCCAGCCUUUGUUUUCAUUUGCUUCAAGCUUAUUGUGAGCCACGUUCAGAAGUUGGAGAGCUCUGAGCCUCCCCAAAGUGGGUGGCACAUACCCACUAAAUCUAUUUUCAAAGAGUCGUACUUCUGUGAGCUCAGACAUAUUGGAUAGUGAUGAAGGGAGAACUCCAGUGAAGUGA
This 540-nucleotide ribosomal RNA is filed under the name Triticum aestivum (bread wheat). RNAcentral's name for it is "partial small subunit ribosomal RNA". Lineage: Eukaryota; Viridiplantae; Streptophyta; Magnoliopsida; Poales; Poaceae. The record is from RNAcentral.